GUUUCCUACGGGAGGCAGCAGUGAGGAAUAUUGGUCAAUGGGCGGAAGCCUGAACCAGCCAAGUCGCGUGAGGGAAUAAGGCCCUACGGGUCGUAAACCUCUUUUGCCGGGGAGCAAGGGCCGGGUCGCGUCCCGGCCCGGAGAGUACCCGGAGAAAAAGCAUCGGCUAACUCCGUGCCAGCAGCCGCGGUAAUACGGAGGAUGCGAGCGUUAUCCGGAUUUAUUGGGUUUAAAGGGUGCGUAGGCGGGCUUUUAAGU
RNAcentral lists this ribosomal RNA (258 nucleotides) under uncultured bacterium. RNAcentral describes it as "partial 16S ribosomal RNA". It matches the Rfam family "Bacterial small subunit ribosomal RNA", at positions 334 to 588 of the family's 1533-position model. The record is from RNAcentral.